This 426-nucleotide ribosomal RNA is filed under the name uncultured bacterium. Its description in RNAcentral is "partial 16S ribosomal RNA". It matches the Rfam family "Bacterial small subunit ribosomal RNA", at positions 354 to 796 of the family's 1533-position model. The record is from RNAcentral.
GUAGGGAAUAUUGCGCAAUGGGCGAAAGCCUGACGGAGCAAUGCCGCGUGAAGGAUGAAGGCCUAUGGGUUGUAAACUUCUUUUCUCAGAAAAGAAUUAUGACGGUAUCUGAGGAAUAAGCAUCGGCUAACUCUGUGCCAGCAGCCGCGGUAAGACAGAGGAUGCAAGCGUUAUCCGGAAUGAUUGGGCGUAAAGCGUCUGUAGGUUGUUUAAAAAGUAUUCUGUCAAAGAUUAGGGCUUAACCCUAGAUAGGCAGAAUAAACUUUUAAGCUAGAGUUUGGUAGAGGCAGAGGGAAUUCCCGGUGGAGCGGUGAAAUGCGUAGAUAUCGGGAGGAACACCAAAGGCGAAGGCACUCUGCUGGGCCAAUACUAACACUGAGAGACGAAAGCGAGGGGAGCAAAUGGGAUUAGAUACCCGGGUAGUCC